Molecule: ribosomal RNA, 270 nt
Filed under: uncultured bacterium
Lineage: Bacteria
Description: partial 16S ribosomal RNA
Rfam family: Bacterial small subunit ribosomal RNA
Source: RNAcentral
UGGCAUUCGAGUGGCGGACGGGUGAGUAACGCGUGGGUAACCUGCCUUACACAGGGGGAUAACACCUGGAAACAGGUGCUAAUACCGCAUAAGCGCACAGGGCCGCAUGGCCCGGUGUGAAAAACUCCGGUGGUGUAAGAUGGACCCGCGUCUGAUUAGCUUGUUGGCGGGGUAGGGGCCCACCAAGGCGACGAUCAGUAGCCGGCCUGAGAGGGUGGACCGGCCACAUUGGGACUGAGACACGGCCCAAACUCCUACGGAAGGCAGCAG